RNAcentral lists this ribosomal RNA (271 nucleotides) under uncultured bacterium. RNAcentral describes it as "partial 16S ribosomal RNA". It matches the Rfam family "Bacterial small subunit ribosomal RNA", at positions 78 to 354 of the family's 1533-position model. The record is from RNAcentral.
CUUUUGAUGGCGACCGGCGCACGGGUGAGUAACACGUAUCCAACCUGCCUCAUACUCGGGGAUAGCCUUUCGAAAGAAAGAUUAAUACCCGAUGUUAUAGUCCUACCGCAUGAUGGGAUUAUUAAAGAAUUUCGGUAUGGGAUGGGGAUGCGUUCCAUUAGUUAGCUGGCGGGGUAACGGCCCACCAAGACAACGAUGGAUAGGGGUUCUGAGAGGAAGGUCCCCCACAUUGGAACUGAGACACGGUCCAAACUCCUACGGAAGGCAGCAG